This 181-nucleotide non-coding RNA is filed under the name Deltaproteobacteria bacterium. RNAcentral describes it as "6S RNA". It matches the Rfam family "6S / SsrS RNA". From Rfam's summary of the family: E. coli 6S RNA was the first non coding RNA to be sequenced, but its function was unknown until recently. It consists of 184 nucleotides that fold into an extended hairpin structure with a large single-stranded internal bulge. The 6S RNA specifically associates with RNA polymerase holoenzyme containing the sigma70 specificity factor. Lineage: Bacteria; Pseudomonadati; Myxococcota; Myxococcia. The record is from RNAcentral.
UUUCCCCUGCUGUGUUCGUGAUCGACGGAGGCAACUUAGAACCAACGAAGAAAAAAAGGAAGCUGUCCCUUACCGUGGCGGUCAGGCCCCCAACUACGGGGAAGACUCAAGCGGUAAUAUGGCAUCCACCUGGUUUCCAGGUUCAAGUUGACCCAUUGACACGGCACAAAGCGGGGGAAAC